This 950-nucleotide ribosomal RNA is filed under the name Pseudomonas sp. RNAcentral's name for it is "bacterial SSU rRNA". It matches the Rfam family "Bacterial small subunit ribosomal RNA", at positions 36 to 975 of the family's 1533-position model. The record is from RNAcentral. Lineage: Bacteria; Pseudomonadati; Pseudomonadota; Gammaproteobacteria; Pseudomonadales; Pseudomonadaceae.
AAGGCAAUGCGCAGCUACACAUGCAGUCGAGCGGAUGACGGGAGCUUGCUCCUUGAUUCAGCGGCGGACGGGUGAGUAAUGCCUAGGAAUCUGCCUGGUAGUGGGGGACAACGUUUCGAAAGGAACGCUAAUACCGCAUACGUCCUACGGGAGAAAGCAGGGGACCUUCGGGCCUUGCGCUAUCAGAUGAGCCUAGGUCGGAUUAGCUAGUUGGUGGGGUAAUGGCUCACCAAGGCGACGAUCCGUAACUGGUCUGAGAGGAUGAUCAGUCACACUGGAACUGAGACACGGUCCAGACUCCUACGGGAGGCAGCAGUGGGGAAUAUUGGACAAUGGGCGAAAGCCUGAUCCAGCCAUGCCGCGUGUGUGAAGAAGGUCUUCGGAUUGUAAAGCACUUUAAGUUGGGAGGAAGGGCAGUAAGUUAAUACCUUGCUGUUUUGACGUUACCGACAGAAUAAGCACCGGCUAACUCUGUGCCAGCAGCCGCGGUAAUACAGAGGGUGCAAGCGUUAAUCGGAAUUACUGGGCGUAAAGCGCGCGUAGGUGGUUCGUUAAGUUGGAUGUGAAAGCCCCGGGCUCAACCUGGGAACUGCAUCCAAAACUGGCGAGCUAGAGUACGGUAGAGGGUGGUGGAAUUUCCUGUGUAGCGGUGAAAUGCGUAGAUAUAGGAAGGAACACCAGUGGCGAAGGCGACCACCUGGACUGAUACUGACACUGAGGUGCGAAAGCGUGGGGGAGCAAACAGGAUUAGAUACCCCGGGUAGUCCACGCCGUAAACGAUGUCAACUAGCCGUUGGAAUCCUUGAAAAUUUAUUGGCGCACCUACGCCUUAAGUUGACCCCCUGGGGGAGUACGGCCGCCAAGGUUAAAACUCCAAUGAAAUUUACGGGGGGCCCCACAAGCGGUGGAGCAAGGGGGUUUAAUUCCAAGCAACCCCGAAAAACCUUUCC